This 312-nucleotide ribosomal RNA is filed under the name Triticum aestivum (bread wheat). RNAcentral describes it as "partial small subunit ribosomal RNA". Lineage: Eukaryota; Viridiplantae; Streptophyta; Magnoliopsida; Poales; Poaceae. The record is from RNAcentral.
AUGGAUCUCGGUGAGAUGACCCGGGGGAAACAUCGGUGUGGCGCCGCAAGUUUUAGGGACAAUGCCCUGGUCUUCGGGGUCGGUCUUCUACAUCGGUCGAGCCGCGCCAUUGUUCUCCAUGGUGAGGCCAUCCCAGGUCGAUUCCUGGUACCGAAGGCGAUCACCACGACGACACAACCUGUAAGAGAUGGAGAUGGGUGUCGAGGCGGUGGAAGAAAGAUAAGGAAGGAGAUCGUAGUUUCUAGCCACAUGGGGCCCAUGGCGUGUGGCGCAUGCCCGACCGGCCGAAUUUCUAGCCGGUGGGCCGGAUAG